CCUUCUCUGUCUUCUUUUACCUUGCAGGAUGUGAGGGCAGGCCCCCAGCCCCUCAUGUCAGAGCCCCCUGUGUACUGUAACCUGGUGGACCUUCGCCGCUGUCCUCGGUCCCCACCCCCAGGCCCUGCAUGCCCCCUGCUGCAGAGGCUGGAUGCCUGGGAGCAGCACCUGGACCCCAACUCUGGACGCUGCUUCUACAUAAAUUCACUGACUGGCUGCAAGUCCUGGAAGCCCCCGCGCCGCAGUCGCAGCGAGACGAACCCUGGCUCCAUGGAGGGGACACAGACCCUGAAGAGGAACAAUGAUGUCCUGCAACCUCAGGCAAAGGGCUUCAGAUCUGACACAGGGACCCCAGAACCGCUUGACCCACAGGGUUCACUCAGCCUCAGCCAACGCACCUCGCAGCUUGACCCUCCAGCCUUGCAGGCCCCUCGACCUCUGCCGCAGCUCCUGGACGACCCCCAUGUGAAUCUCCCAUUUCUUUGUGAAGGCCAAGACCCUCCCU
Molecule: small RNA, 505 nt
Filed under: Pan troglodytes (chimpanzee)
Lineage: Eukaryota; Metazoa; Chordata; Mammalia; Primates; Hominidae
Description: retained intron
Source: RNAcentral